AAGUCGUAACAAGGUUUCCGUAGGUGAACCUGCGGAAGGAUCAUUAAUGAAAUUAUGACUGGGGUUGUAGCUGGCCUAUAAAACGGCAUGUGCACGCUCCUUUCACAAUCCACACACACCUGUGCACCUUCGCGGGGGUCUUUUUUUUCUCUUCGGGGGAAUAAAGGCUCGCGUCCCUUUACACACCCUUUGUAUGUCUUAAGAAUGUCUACUCGAUGUAAUAAAACGCAUCUAAUACAACUUUCAACAACGGAUCUCUUGGCUCUC
RNAcentral lists this unclassified non-coding RNA (267 nucleotides) under Stereum ostrea. Its description in RNAcentral is "partial internal transcribed spacer region". The stretch from base 1 to 46 matches the Rfam family "Eukaryotic small subunit ribosomal RNA", at positions 1786 to 1831 of the family's 1831-position model. Lineage: Eukaryota; Fungi; Basidiomycota; Agaricomycetes; Russulales; Stereaceae. The record is from RNAcentral.